RNAcentral lists this ribosomal RNA (353 nucleotides) under uncultured bacterium. Its description in RNAcentral is "bacterial SSU rRNA". It matches the Rfam family "Bacterial small subunit ribosomal RNA", at positions 69 to 422 of the family's 1533-position model. The record is from RNAcentral.
GAACCAGGACUUCGGUCCUGGGGACAGCGGCGAACGGGUGCGUAACACGUGAGCAACCUGCCCCGAAGACCGGGACAAGCCGGGGAAACCUGGUCUAAUACCGGAUGCCCUCUCCGGAUCGCAUGAUCUGGUGAGGAAAUGGAUUCCGCUUCGGGAUGGGCUCGCGGUCUAUCAGCUUGUUGGUGGGGUAACGGCCUACCAAGGCGACGACGGAUAGCUGGUCUGAGAGGACGAUCAGCCACACUGGGACUGAGACACGGCCCAGACUCCUACGGGAGGCAGCAGUGAGGAAUAUUCCACAAUGGGCGAAAGCCUGAUGGAGCGACGCCGCGUGCGGGAUGAAGCCCUUUGGG